GCCAGCCCGCUCAGAAACUCGAAAGGAAUUGACGGGCCCGCACAAGCGGUGGAGUAUGUGGUUUAAUUCGAUGCAACGCGAAGAACCUUACCUGGUCUUGACAUCCCGGAGACCCUUAGGAAACUAGGGGGUGCUUCCAUCUGGAAGAAUCUGGAGACAGGUGCUGCAUGGCUGUCGUCAGCUCGUGUCGUGAGAUGUUGGGUUAAGUCCCGCAACGAGCGCAACCCUUGCCUUUAGUUGCCAGCAGUUCGGCUGGGCACUCUAAAGGGACUGCCGGUGUUAAACCGGAGGAAGGUGGGGAUGACGUCAAGUCCUCAUGGCCUUUAUGACCAGGGCUACACACGUACUACAAUGGCCGAUACAAAGGGCAGCGACACUGCGAGGUGAAGCCAAUCCCGUAAAAUCGGUCUCAGUCCGGAUUGGAGUCUGCAACUCGACUCCAUGAAGUUGGAAUCGCUAGUAAUCGUGGAUCAGCAUGCCACGGUGAAUACGUUCCCGGGCCUU
This 504-nucleotide ribosomal RNA is filed under the name uncultured Desulfobulbus sp. RNAcentral describes it as "bacterial SSU rRNA". It matches the Rfam family "Bacterial small subunit ribosomal RNA", at positions 903 to 1382 of the family's 1533-position model. Lineage: Bacteria; Pseudomonadati; Thermodesulfobacteriota; Desulfobulbia; Desulfobulbales; Desulfobulbaceae. The record is from RNAcentral.